Molecule: transfer RNA, 72 nt
Filed under: Candidatus Woesearchaeota archaeon
Lineage: Archaea; Nanobdellati; Candidatus Woesearchaeota
Description: tRNA-Ala
Rfam family: tRNA
About the family: Transfer RNA (tRNA) molecules are approximately 80 nucleotides in length. Their secondary structure includes four short double-helical elements and three loops (D, anti-codon, and T loops).
Source: RNAcentral
GGGCCGAUGGUCUAAUGGUAUGACACUGCCUUGGCAGGGCAGAAACUCCGGGUUCAAUUCCCGGUCGGUCCA